This 864-nucleotide long non-coding RNA is filed under the name Homo sapiens (human). Its description in RNAcentral is "HSALNT0333431". Lineage: Eukaryota; Metazoa; Chordata; Mammalia; Primates; Hominidae. The record is from RNAcentral.
GCCGAGAGCGGGGAGUUACUGGAGGAAGGGGAGAGGUGACGUGGAAACGUCUCCUUCAUAUCUUGUUCCUCAAUUCCCAUCUUGGUCUCCAGUACUAUUUGUACCGAAAGUUUCGCCAAGGAAUGCCACAAUAGUUCAGCCGUUUCUACCUCCAAGAUUUCCCUCCCCAACCGAUGUUCGCCAAACAGGGUCUCGCAAAGAGAGAGGCAUCUCUCUUACAUCAAACCAAUCGACAAAGGAAAACCCCACAUUUACAGAAUCCUGGGAUAUUUUCAGUGCCAUUUGGACGCAGUCCCGCAGCACUGUUGGAGAUCAUUUUCUCCUGCGAGAAAGUAAGCAGCGGAUUUCCAUCUAUUGGUCUGUGAAUCCGCUAACAUAAAAAUUAAACAAACAAAAAAAGAAAAGAAAAGAAAAAAGGCACGAGAAAAAGGUCUCCGUUCUCAGAGAGCCCUGUAGGAAUGUUCCAGAUUCCUGUAUAUCGUCUGUCUCUCUGAAAGGGGAGUCGGACAUUGAUCUGACCAGCAACUGUCGUAAACUCACACCGCUCUAGCAACGACGGUAACACCCAGUUCUUUUCCUUAGCCGUUCAACUGAUCAGUCAACUGAUCAGUGACUAAAAUCUUCACUGCUUUUCUGCACACGUAAAAUAAUCUGUUACAAACUUCUACCAAAAGAUUUCCUAGGUUACCUCUAAAACCUAAGAGGAAAGAACCCUCAAGAUUAUGACACUGCUGAAAACAAGUUUGGGUCAUCAAUAACAAAAGAAAUAAUCAUCCUGUUAAAAAGAAACUAAGUUUAAAGCUUCUUCUGAGAUUGCUUCUCAGAAUUAUCUGAUUUGGAUAUCCUUUCUGUCUCUUGUUUUUG